AGAGUUUGAUCCUGGCUCAGGACGAACGCUGGCGGCGUGCUUAACACAUGCAAGUCGAACGAUGAUGCCCAGCUUGCUGGGUGGAUUAGUGGCGAACGGGUGAGUAACACGUGAGUAACCUGCCCCUGACUCUGGGAUAAGCGUUGGAAACGACGUCUAAUACUGGAUAUGAUCACUGGCCGCAUGGUCUGGUGGUGGAAAGAUUUUUUGGUUGGGGAUGGACUCGCGGCCUAUCAGCUUGUUGGUGAGGUAAUGGCUCACCAAGGCGACGACGGGUAGCCGGCCUGAGAGGGUGACCGGCCACACUGGGACUGAGACACGGCCCAGACUCCUACGGGAGGCAGCAGUGGGGAAUAUUGCACAAUGGGCGAAAGCCUGAUGCAGCAACGCCGCGUGAGGGAUGACGGCCUUCGGGUUGUAAACCUCUUUUAGUAGGGAAGAAGCGAAAGUGACGGUACCUGCAGAAAAAGCACCGGCUAACUACGUGCCAGCAGCCGCGGUAAUACGUAGGGUGCAAGCGUUGUCCGGAAUUAUUGGGCGUAAAGAGCUCGUAGGCGGUUUGUCGCGUCUGCUGUGAAAUCCCGAGGCUCAACCUCGGGCUUGCAGUGGGUACGGGCAGACUAGAGUGCGGUAGGGGAGAUUGGAAUUCCUGGUGUAGCGGUGGAAUGCGCAGAUAUCAGGAGGAACACCGAUGGCGAAGGCAGAUCUCUGGGCCGUAACUGACGCUGAGGAGCGAAAGCAUGGGGAGCGAACAGGAUUAGAUACCCUGGUAGUCCAUGCCGUAAACGUUGGGCGCUAGAUGUAGGGACCUUUCCACGGUUUCUGUGUCGUAGCUAACGCAUUAAGCGCCCCGCCUGGGGAGUACGGCCGCAAGGCUAAAACUCAAAGGAAUUGACGGGGGCCCGCACAAGCGGCGGAGCAUGCGGAUUAAUUCGAUGCAACGCGAAGAACCUUACCAAGGCUUGACAUACACCGGAAACGGCCAGAGAUGGUCGCCCCCUUGUGGUCGGUGUACAGGUGGUGCAUGGUUGUCGUCAGCUCGUGUCGUGAGAUGUUGGGUUAAGUCCCGCAACGAGCGCAACCCUCGUUCUAUGUUGCCAGCGGGUUAUGCCGGGGACUCAUAGGAGACUGCCGGGGUCAACUCGGAGGAAGGUGGGGAUGACGUCAAAUCAUCAUGCCCCUUAUGUCUUGGGCUUCACGCAUGCUACAAUGGCCGGUACAAAGGGCUGCGAUACCGUAAGGUGGAGCGAAUCCCAAAAAGCCGGUCUCAGUUCGGAUUGAGGUCUGCAACUCGACCUCAUGAAGUCGGAGUCGCUAGUAAUCGCAGAUCAGCAACGCUGCGGUGAAUACGUUCCCGGGCCUUGUACACACCGCCCGUCAAGUCAUGAAAGUCGGUAACACCCGAAGCCGGUGGCCUAACCCUUGUGGAAGGAGCCGUCGAAGGUGGGAUCGGUGAUUAGGACUAAGUCGUAACAAGGUAGCCGUACCGGAAGGUGCGGCUGGAUCACCUCCUU
Molecule: ribosomal RNA, 1514 nt
Filed under: Alcaligenes faecalis
Lineage: Bacteria; Pseudomonadati; Pseudomonadota; Betaproteobacteria; Burkholderiales; Alcaligenaceae
Also listed under: 3 other names
Description: bacterial SSU rRNA
Rfam family: Bacterial small subunit ribosomal RNA
Source: RNAcentral